RNAcentral lists this unclassified non-coding RNA (213 nucleotides) under plant metagenome. RNAcentral's name for it is "partial contains small subunit ribosomal RNA, internal transcribed spacer 1, and 5.8S ribosomal RNA". The record is from RNAcentral.
UUUCCGUAGGUGAACCUGCGGAUGGAUCACUACAGGCUUGCAAAGGCUCUGAAACCACUGUUUAUCUACCUGAAUCUGCUUCGGCGGGCGGCCCCAGGGCGGGGCCGUAGCCGCAAGGCGCCCGCCGAAGACCCCUAAACUCUGUCGUCUUGGGAAUCUCUGAGUAUCAUAUUAAACAAAAAACAACUUUCAACAACGGAUCUCUUGGCUCUG